RNAcentral lists this ribosomal RNA (424 nucleotides) under uncultured bacterium. Its description in RNAcentral is "partial 16S ribosomal RNA". It matches the Rfam family "Bacterial small subunit ribosomal RNA", at positions 359 to 776 of the family's 1533-position model. The record is from RNAcentral.
GAUUUUGGACAAUGGGGGAAACCCUGAUCCAGCCAUCCCCCGCGUAUGAUGAAGACCUUCUGGUUGUAAAGUAUUCUUGGAAGAGAGGAAAAGGUAUCUCCUAAUACGAGAUACUGCUGACGGUAUCUGCAGCCUAAGCCCCGGCUAACUCGGUGCGAGCAACCGCGGUAAUACGUAGGGUGCAAGCGUUAAUCGGAAUUACUGGGCGUAAAGCGUGUGUAGGCGGUUCGGAAAGAAAGAUGUGAAAUCCCAGGGCUCAACCUUGGAACUGCAUUUGUAACUGCCGAGCUAGAGUAUGUCAGAGGGGGGUAGAAUUCCACGUGUAGCAGUGAAAUGCGUAGAUAUGUGGAGGAAAACCGAUGGCGAAGGCAGCCCCCUGGGAUAAUACUGACGCUCAGACACGAAAGCGUGGGGAGCAAACAGG